RNAcentral lists this unclassified non-coding RNA (223 nucleotides) under Hevea brasiliensis (rubber tree). Lineage: Eukaryota; Viridiplantae; Streptophyta; Magnoliopsida; Malpighiales; Euphorbiaceae. The record is from RNAcentral.
ACAACGGAAACGCUCAGCACCAAUGGUGAUGACCUGACCAUCAGGCAAUUCAAAGCUCUUCUCCACUGAUGAGCUAGUUUUCGAGGUUUCUAGCUCCUGCUCAUAGUCAAGAGCAAUAUAAGACAGCUUUUCCUUCAUGUCCCUCACAAUUUCCCGUUCAGCUGAGGUGGUAAAAGAAUAUCCACGCUCAGUAAGGAUCUUCAUCAAGUGAUCAGUAAGGUCA